RNAcentral lists this unclassified non-coding RNA (328 nucleotides) under soil metagenome. Its description in RNAcentral is "partial contains 5.8S ribosomal RNA, internal transcribed spacer 2, and large subunit ribosomal RNA". The stretch from base 1 to 120 matches the Rfam family "5.8S ribosomal RNA", at positions 35 to 154 of the family's 154-position model. The record is from RNAcentral.
GAUGAAGAACGCAGCAAAAUGCGAUAAGUAAUGUGAAUUGCAGAAUUCAGUGAAUCAUCGAAUCUUUGAACGCACAUUGCGCCCCUCGGUAUUCCGAGGGGCAUGCCUGUUCGAGCGUCAUUAUAACCCUUCAAGCUCAGCUUGGUGUUGGGGCCUGCUGUAACUGGUAGCCCUUAAAAUCAGUGGCAGUGCUAUUAGGCUCUAAGCGUAGUAAUUCUUCUCGCUAUAGUGUGUAGUGAGCGCUUGCCAGAACCCCAAACUUUUAUAUGAUUGACCUCGGAUCAGGUAGGGAUACCCGCUGAACUUAAGCAUAUCAAUAAGCGGAGGA